This 774-nucleotide ribosomal RNA is filed under the name uncultured Neocallimastigales. RNAcentral's name for it is "partial large subunit ribosomal RNA". It matches the Rfam family "Eukaryotic large subunit ribosomal RNA", at positions 23 to 645 of the family's 3401-position model. Lineage: Eukaryota; Fungi; Neocallimastigomycota; Neocallimastigomycetes; Neocallimastigales. The record is from RNAcentral.
AGAGAGAGACAUGCGCGCAUAUCAAUAAGCGGAGGAAAAGAAACUAACUAGGAUUCCCUCAGUAACGGCGAGUGAAGCGGGAAGAGCUCAAAUUUGAAAUCUUCAAGGUUCUACCUUGACGAAUUGUAGUUUAAAGAAGUGUUUUCUGUUGGAGGUUUUGGUAAAAGUUCUUUGGAAUAGGACAUCAUAGAGGGUGAGAAUCCCGUAUUUGACCAUUACUUUCAACUUUGUGAUACACUUUCAAAGAGUCGGAUUGUUUGGGAAUGCAGUCCAAAAUGGGUGGUAAAUUUCAUCUAAAGCUAAAUAUUGGCGAGAGACCGAUAGCGAACAAGUACCGUGAGGGAAAGAUGAAAAGAACUUUGAAAAGAGAGUUAAACAGUACGUGAAAUUGUCAAAAGGGAAGCGUUUGACACCAGUGUUGUUUUCUCGAAAAUCAAUUAAAAAAGGCAGGAUUUUGUGUUGUAUUGACUUUAUCAGCUUUCUGCACUCUUUUCUUGUCUUUUUUAAUGCACUUUUCGUUUAACAAGUCAACAUCAGUUUCUUUUGUUGUAAAAAGGUCAUUGGAAGGUGGCUUUCUUUUCGGAGAAAGUGUUUAUAGCCUUUGGCCUAUGCAGUCGGAGAGAUUGAGGUCUGCAGCGUAGAUCCUUCGGGGCUAAAUGCAUUUGUGCUAAGUUAUAGCAUUUUAUAGACAACUUGUUGACUAUGAUUUGUCUUGUAGCUUACUCGCUUAUGUUAUUUUACCUACGCUUAGGAUGUUGAUGUGAUACUGCGAGC